This 222-nucleotide unclassified non-coding RNA is filed under the name Hevea brasiliensis (rubber tree). The record is from RNAcentral. Lineage: Eukaryota; Viridiplantae; Streptophyta; Magnoliopsida; Malpighiales; Euphorbiaceae.
GAUCAAGAAUUUUGUCAGAUUCCAUUUCUUUUUCGCCCUGUUGACAUUUUUUUUUUAAUUCUUUCUUCUUCUCGCCAGCGAGAGUGGGAGAGAAAAAAGGAAGCCUACACGAUUGGAUUCUUGAUUUUUAAGAUGUUAGAGUGCGGCCACCGCGACUCCUCCGACGGUGAUCUCAGUUUCAAGACCACUAAUUCUACCAACAGUUCAAUGAGCAGCGAGAGU